GGAUCAGGUAGGAAUACCCGCUGAACUUAAGCAUAUCACGACGGGGGG
Molecule: ribosomal RNA, 48 nt
Filed under: Trypethelium platystomum
Lineage: Eukaryota; Fungi; Ascomycota; Dothideomycetes; Trypetheliales; Trypetheliaceae
Description: partial 28S rRNA
Source: RNAcentral